RNAcentral lists this ribosomal RNA (252 nucleotides) under uncultured bacterium. Its description in RNAcentral is "partial 16S ribosomal RNA". It matches the Rfam family "Bacterial small subunit ribosomal RNA", at positions 524 to 776 of the family's 1533-position model. The record is from RNAcentral.
UACGUAGGUGGCAAGCGUUGUCCGGAAUUAUUGGGCGUAAAGCGCGCGCAGGCGGCUAUGUAAGUCUGAUGUUAAAGCCCGGGGCUCAACUCCGGUUCGCAUUGGAAACUGUGUAGCUUGAGUGCAGAAGAGGAAAGCGGUAUUCCACGUGUAGCGGUGAAAUGCGUAGAGAUGUGGAGGAACACCAGUGGCGAAGGCGGCUUUCUGGUCUGUAACUGAUGCUGAGGCGCGAAAGCGUGGGGAGCAAACAGG